This is a non-coding RNA of Paramuricea clavata, 198 nucleotides long. The record is from the annotation of a GenBank genome assembly. NCBI's taxonomy places the organism in Eukaryota, Metazoa, Cnidaria, Anthozoa, Malacalcyonacea, Plexauridae.
GAAAUCUUGUAAAAUGCGGAAAAUAUAGCCCUGCGAAAUUUGCAAAUUUUGUAUUAAUUUGUAUUUAAUACGCACGGGAAUUUGCACCACUUUCGGCCCGAAUGUGGUGCAUUUUCCCGCGCGUAAUACAAAUUAAUACAAAAUUUGCAAAUUUCGUAGGGCUAUAUUUUCCUCAUUUCCUCAUGAUUAAAAAAAAUC